UAUAGGCAAUGAAAUUCUUGUUCAUGCUCAGAAGUUGCAGUAUCUGGCUUUUGCAAGUUGGUUAGGUAUAGAUGGCUUCAUUUUUCUAAUUUGAGCAUUUUCCUUAUUCCUUUUAUGUGUCGACUUCUGAGUUUGAUCACCAUAUACUGGCAAUACUGCUGUCUUAGCUAGUUGCUUUCUUUAAGAAACACCCCCUCCCUGCCUCUGGGCUGCCAAAUGAAUGAAAUAAUAAAAUAAAGCGAAAAUCAAUACUCAUCACCUGUUCAUUUUUCAUAGAUGAGUUUUUGAUAUAUGAAUGAAUACUCAUGAUCAAAUUACUGUUUUUUUACUUUAUUGACUGCCUAAAUAUCAAUGAAGUGCUAAUCGUCCAGCAUGAUUUAUUAUAUGUUUUAGUUGAGUUUAAAUAUAGAGGAUAGUUUCAUGACAACUAAAGUGACUUAAUCUGCUUAUUCCUACACCACCUCCACCAUCACGACCACCACCAGAAAGAAGUCUUGCAAGGUUAAUAUUUGAAAUUGGAUGAUACAAGAGUAAAUUUUUUUCCUCCUUUUUUCAUUUAUAUAGUCUUUCUGAUAUAACUUUGGUAAGAAGACUUCAAUUGAUCUGCAUUUCUUUUAUAUAUAACUUGCCUGUUUCACUGAUAUUUUUUUCCCCUUUACCCCACUUGCCAUUGCAGGCAUAGUUCUUUGCCUUGUAUUUAAUGUUAUUGCUGUGAUAAUUUGUUGGAUUAGAGGUGGAGGUGUAAAAAUAUUUUUCCUGGCAACAAUCUAUGCUCUACUUGGAUGCCCUCUUUCAUAUGUCCUAUGGUAUAGGCCACUUUACCAUGCAAUGAGGUCAGAAUUUUUUGGAGAGAUGCAAAAUAUGGUCCAAGAAUUAAAGAACUUGUUUUUUAA
Molecule: non-coding RNA, 893 nt
Organism: Camellia sinensis
Lineage: Eukaryota; Viridiplantae; Streptophyta; Magnoliopsida; Ericales; Theaceae
Source: RefSeq, a predicted model, not a curated record